CCCUAGCCCUGAUGGCAGCGGCAUCCUUUUUAGUUUGCUUUUUUGCUAACAAAAAGAUACAGCGAACAGCAGGAAAUGGC
Molecule: small RNA, 80 nt
Filed under: Flavobacterium xanthum
Lineage: Bacteria; Pseudomonadati; Bacteroidota; Flavobacteriia; Flavobacteriales; Flavobacteriaceae
Description: Flavo-1 RNA
Rfam family: Flavo-1 RNA
Source: RNAcentral